UACGGCCUUCAACACGGAGCCUUGGCUCACAUCAAUCAGCACGCUAUAAAGGACCCAAAAUAUUACUAGUGUUAAACCAUUUAAACGGGAAAAGCAACGGUCUAAUCUAUAUAAAAACGAGAAGCAUGGUUGAGCCGUUAGAGCAAAUGGAUAAUUACAUUCAAACAAACAAAAUCUAGGGAGCUUUUUUAUAUAUUUUAUGUGAAAAUGACAAUGAGAAUGAUGGUCGUAGUGUGAACGUAGUCAGGUCGUAAGAG
RNAcentral lists this long non-coding RNA (257 nucleotides) under Mytilus galloprovincialis (Mediterranean mussel). The record is from RNAcentral. Lineage: Eukaryota; Metazoa; Mollusca; Bivalvia; Mytilida; Mytilidae.